AAAAAGUCGGGGAGAGAAAUUUAAGCAUGUUCCGUUUAUUCUUUCCAAAUUUAUCAACCAGAUAAGUCAUUCCACUUCUUCUGAGGGAGUGAAGAAAGAGGCCAAGUUCAGAAUUUUACCAGUUGACUACCUUGACCUGGACAUAAGCACCAGAACGGUUGCACUCAACAACAAAGACUGUACUGGGAAUAGAAAGAUGAACAAGACAGUGCACUUCCCUUCAAAGAGCUUACAGAAUCACAACCAGCAGGAAGAUAAAAAGCAGAUGGAAUAGCAAUAACAACAACUAAAGGACAGAAAAACCUAGCAACCACAAGGCAAGAGCAAGAUAAAAAUAAGAAUAAUAAAAGAUAAAUGCACGAAUUCCUAAACACCUUCCUCCUCUUCUCUCAGGAGUUCCAAUGCCUGAAUAGGAAAAUAACAGACAUCCCAGAAGAAUACUGAACAAUGCAUACAAAUAAGUACAUCGCUGAAGAAGCAAACUGCCCAAUAAAGUCUUCAAUCUCUCUGGUGGUAAGAAUGAUCAGGGAAAUAAUAAGGUCAUUGUCAUUGGUUUCUUUGAGCUCUGGCUUGAGAAAAAAGAAGAACAUAGUUCUACGGAUGGAGGAUGAUUCUAUUUACAGAGGUUAGAUUUUUUUUUAUUGUAAACUUAUGAUAAAAGGAAUUUAAGUUUAAUGUAGGCAAGAGAUUACCAGAAGUAUGGGAAAAAUAAUCCCAAGAGAGAUUUGGAAUUAUUUAGGAAUUUUAAGAGUAAACUAACUGGCCGGUCAUGUUGGCUCACACCUGUAAUCCUAGCACUUUGGGAAGCUGAGGCUUGUAGAUUGCCUGAGCUCAGGAGUUCAAGACCACCCUGGGCAACAUGGUGAAACCCUGUCUCUACUAGAAAUACAAAAAAAGAAAAAAUUUUCUGGGUGUGGUGGUGUGCACCUGUAGUCCCAGCUACUCGGGAAGCUAAGGCACGAGAAUCACUUGAGCCCAGGAGGCAGAGGUUGCAGUGAGCCGAGAUUGCACCAAUUCACUCCAGCCUGGGUGACAGAGUGAGACUCCAUCUCAAAAAAAAAAAAAAAAAAGGAGUAAGCCAACAAAUAUUAAUACACAUGUGCAAAGUCUAAGGGAAAUCAGUCCAGAAUAAAAAUAAAUAAAGGUAAAUCUCAGAAAGCACCUUCAAGAAGGUGGAUUAACGGGUCAGGCAUGGUGGCUCACGCCUGUAAUCCCAGCACUUUGGGAGGCUGAGGCAGAGGGACCACGAGGUCAGGAGAUCGAGACCAUCCUGGCUAGCAUGGUGAAACCCCAUCUCUACUAAAAUUAAAAAAUAAUAAAUAAAAAAAGAAGGAAAAGAAAGUGGAUUAAAAGCACCAAGUAGUCUUAUCCUCCACAAAGGGGAACCAAAAUAGUGAGAAGAUAACUGCAAUGCAAAUACAUAAUGUAAGAAAGAACACUGGAAUUCAACAGAGAAGCUACAGGAAACACCUAAAAUAAGCACGGAGAGGGAAGCAUGGCAGUCUACUUCUCUGGGAUCAUCCAGUAGCCUGGAGAGAUUCUCCAUUGCAGUCAAGGAUAAGUGAGUCACCCAUAGGGCUUCACAUUUCCACUAUGGACUCUUGCAUCCUGGGCAUGGGAAAGCCCCUAGACCCUUGCAGUCCCUAAGACUAGCAUAAGGAGUUGCAUGGAGGCAGUAUGAAAACAUUGUUCCAGACAGGGAGCUCACACGGAGUCCAGCACAUUCUAAGCUAAGCAGCUACUGAAAGACAGCAUAUUUAGAGCCCAGCCUCCACCAGACUGCAUCCUGCCUGGAGGUCCAACAGUGCUUGCAUCCCCACAUCUCUAGAGCCUUCAGAGAUUCCCCACCUUCAGCCACCACCAUGGCUGGAUACUGCAUCCAGGGCUGAAGUAUGAGCUUUUGGCAAAUACCCUGUUGCCCCAGGAGUGAUGUCACUUCACAUUUUCAUGCACUCUGAGGGCAAACUCUGCAACUAGCAGUAGCCAUCACUACAAGCUGUCACAUCCAGGGUUGAAACACAAGUGAAGAACAUACUCCUCAGCUGUCUGCCUAUGACUGUUGUCCCUGAAAGCACACCUGUUCUCCCCAAUAGUAGGUCUACAGUGCAGCCACUGCUGCUGCCACCCUCACCCAGAGCAUUCUGCUGUGGGCCCUGGGCUCAAUCUGCUGCUGCCUACCACAGCCAGUGCCUAUCCA
This 2197-nucleotide long non-coding RNA is filed under the name Pan troglodytes (chimpanzee). RNAcentral describes it as "lncRNA (ENSPTRG00000053795.1)". The record is from RNAcentral. Lineage: Eukaryota; Metazoa; Chordata; Mammalia; Primates; Hominidae.